AUCAGGGUCACACAGUGUGAAACAGAGAGAGGAAAAACCUGAAAGGCAUAACAUGUUUUUUUUUUUCAAUACACACACGCAGCCACACUCAAACACAAGAUUCACAAUACUGGACAGAGGGUCUUUGAGGACUGCUAUAGACCGGGACCAGGCCAUAAAGGUUUAGACAGAGGAGGGUCUUUUGAGGACUGCUGGAGACUGGGACCAGGCCAUAAAGGUUUAGACAGAGGAGGGUCUUUUGAGGACUGCUGGAGACUGGGACCAGGCCAUAAAGGUUUAGACAGAGGAGGGUCUUUUGAGGACUGCUGGAGACUGGGACCAGGCCAAGAGGGGUUAGACGAGGGCUUGAGGCCCGGAGGUCUCUUUCUGCUGGACUCCCACACACACGCUGCCAUUCUGCUGGGUGAUCAGUGCCAUGUUCUCAGGCAUAAACUACAUAGGCUUAUCUCCUGCCCUGCUCUGCUUGGCACAGACACAGCCCAGCUUCUCUCUCUGGGUUCACCUCAUACAGCCCUGGCUCUGCUGCUCACUGCUUACUGCUCAGGCCACCCACGACACACAGAGGAACAAAACCCAGUCUGUUAGUUAGACGCAGGAAGCAACAUCGAGUCUGUCAGCUAGACGCAGAUAGCAACAACCAGUCUGUCAGCUAGACGCAGGAGGCAACAUCCAGUCUGUCAGCUAGACGCAGGAGGCAACAUCCAGUCUGUCAGCUAGAUGCAGGUAGUAAAUGGCAAGUCUGCAUUACACGUUACUACCAGACCUGGGUAUUCUUUCAAAUACUUUCAGCCUGUCUGUAUUUAGCAAAGAUGAUAACACAUAAUCACUCCAGACAGACACAAGCAAAAACUCAUGACGUAAAUGUUGCAGCAGCCUAGGCUACACCUAAACAUUAGAAAUCUGACAUGCUGUUUCGGAUGAAAGGAGGAUUUUUCAGUCUGAUCAACUGUUAAAAAAAGCCCCACCACUCUGGGACCUACUGUGUGGUGCCACCAGUCUGCCUGCAGUUGUCAGCUAUCGUCAGGUAUGUGGAUGAUCAGGGCUUUAUUCAGGAAGGUUUCUUGGAAUACUUGAUGUGUCAAGAGGACGAAUUUUGAGAUGUCUGAGUUUAACUUCAUAGAGAAACUCGUUGUCCAAACCUUCGAUGGCGCAGCUGUAAUGUAAUGUAUCUGCUAUUUGUAUUUACAGCUCAGUCCCCUCCUGCUCCCUGAUUAAGAGGUGAUGACUACUCCACUCCACUACCAUUGUCAACUUUCUCCUGACAUGAACUGAAGCCACGUCUCAUGUGCUCGCUCAUCCACUGGCACAUUGAAUGUUUCCCCUCCAAUCACUUUUUUUGUCUUCCCAGUCAAAUCCUGUCCUGCACUUGUCAAGCCUCUGAACACCUCAACUCAUGCCUCAUACUCUCAUUCAAUCACGGCUGUGAUCCCUUUCCAGCAUGGUCAUCUCAUUCCAUUUCACCAAGCCUCCUUCCAACCUAGACUCAGGUACUGUUUUAAUCAUUUAUUCUUGUUCAUAAACAGUAUUAACACUGUAAGUCUGACCUAUAGUUCAUUAACAGGUAUUAACACUGUAAGUCUGACCUAUAGUUCAUUAACAGGUAUUAACACUGUAAGUCUGACUUAUAGUUCAUUAACAGGUAUUAACACUGUAAUUCUGAUUUAUAGUUCAUUAACAGGUAUUAACACUGUAAGUCUGACCUAUAGUUCAUUAACAGGUAUUAACACUGUAAGUCUGACUUAUAGUUCAUUAACAGGUAUUAACACAAUAAGUCUGACUUAUAGUUCAUUAACAGGUAUUAACACUGUAAGUCUGACUUAUAGUUCAUUAACAGGUAUUAACACUGUAAGUCUGACUUAUAGUUCAUUAACAGGUAUUAACACUGUAAGUCUGACUUAUAGUUCAUUAACAGGUAUUAACACUGUAAGUCUGACCUAUAGUUCAUUAACAGGUAUUAACACAAGUCUGACUUACAGCUUGGCUAAUAAAUUAAUGUGAAAAAGGAAAAGCACAUCCUAACACCAGUCCAACUGUUGAAGAAUUAUGUAACAGGUUAUUUUCUGUCUUUCUUUUGUUGAGGUAAACACCAGAGGAGUUGACGCCAGGCCAGGGGUCCAUAUGUCACCUUGUCUGCUCUGAGAGAUGACUAAUAGAACUCUCUGACCUGAGAUGUGUUAGGUGCUCUAGUUCUCUCUCUCUCUGUCUCCCUGUCUCUCUGUCUCUCUCUCUCUCUCUCUCUCUCUCUCUCUCUCUCUCUCUCUCUCUCUCUCUCUCUCUCUCUCUCUCUCUCUCUCUCUCUCUCUCCUAUUCCUCUGUAAGGAGUGAUGUCUAAUGAUGUGGCACAUACAGGAUCAAGCAAUGUUGUAUGGGGUGGAGGUUUGUGGUAGAUAAGCCCUGAGCUUACAUGCUUCCUGCCUUUGUCUGUCAGACAGCUGCUUCAAAGACUUACUGUGCAGGCAUUGAUGACACACACACACACACACACACACACACACACA
Oncorhynchus mykiss (rainbow trout) is the source of this 2498-nucleotide non-coding RNA. The record is from RefSeq and is a predicted model, not a curated record. Lineage: Eukaryota; Metazoa; Chordata; Actinopteri; Salmoniformes; Salmonidae.